This is an RNA transcript of Glossina fuscipes, 1121 nucleotides long. It is a transcript of the gene named androgen-induced gene 1 protein-like, with no coding region annotated. Lineage: Eukaryota; Metazoa; Arthropoda; Insecta; Diptera; Glossinidae. The transcript is spliced from 3 exons. The record is from RefSeq and is a predicted model, not a curated record.
ACUUUUCUAUGAUUUGUGCAUUGUAAAAUACCCUGUUACCCCUUACAAUUGGCAUCACCCCUUGGGCGGGAAUAUGAAAUUUUUAACCACUCAAAAUAUGGUAAGUCGGUUAAGGAUAUAUAUUCAUUUUCCUUACUUAAUUUCCAUCCUUUCAGCUCAUACAGACACUAUAUUACAUUAUAGCGCUCUUGAAUGAUGUGAUUGGCACAAAUGCUAUGGAGAAGAAUUUACCUCAAAUUCGUUUAAUUCGAGAUCAUUACUUUGCCAGUUUAGCAUUUCCCUUAGCCGUGUAUGUUACUUAUCAAUAUUGGAGUUUGUAUUACAUGGGAGGUGGAUGGGUAUCUCCGCCCGUCUUUAACUCCGUCGUGCCAAAAUGGCUGAACCUAGCCGAGCAUGCAAAUGUCAGCAUAUUGAUUUUUUUCGACAUAUUCUUCUGUGCACGUAGAUAUCCUAAUCGCUUAACAAGUUUACUCAUUCUGUACAGUUAUGUGUGGGCCUACGUAGCUUGGCUCUAUUACGUAAAAGAAAAGGCUGGGUUCUGGGUUUACCAUAUUUUAACUGAUAUGACGAAAAAACAACGACGAAACACUUUUGCUGUUAUUCUAGUCAAAAUUUUGUUCAUCUACAUACAAGGUGAACUGAUAAACAACACCGUUUGGGGAAGGCAAAUAUUUUGUUUACAAAUCACCAAUGACUCUCAAUGCGAUAAGUGUACACAAGCAUGACUAAUCAACUGUACUGUCUCCUGUACGGUAGAAAAAUACAUACCACAAAAAUAGUUUCGCGAUGCAAAGAAAAAAAAAAAAAAACGAUAAUCCGUCUAGCAUUUUAAGCGGCAUCUGAUUCUGAAGUGAAAAAGCGAACGCUAUAUUUUACGCAGAUAUAAAAUUUAAGUGCACAUGAGAUUGUAAAAAUUGAAGCUAACCGGGAAGAAGUCUAGGUACAAAGUAAAAGAGUUGCAGAAUUUGUUCAAAGUAAGAAUGAACGUGCACAAAAUGGGAGCGACAGAAAGCAAGUACCGAAAAUAACAGGUUGUAGUAAAUGAAAGAGGACGUCUCAAUAAGGACUAAACAUGAAGCAAUUUUUAAAAAAGAGCAACCUCGCCUUGAUUCUAAUUUGAA